This 240-nucleotide ribosomal RNA is filed under the name uncultured bacterium. RNAcentral describes it as "partial 16S ribosomal RNA". It matches the Rfam family "Bacterial small subunit ribosomal RNA", at positions 524 to 765 of the family's 1533-position model. The record is from RNAcentral.
UACGAAGGGGCUAGCGUUGUUCGGAAUUACUGGGCGUAAAGGGCGCGUAGGCGGCGUGUCAAGUCAGGCGUGAAAGCCCGGGCUCAACCUGGGAACCGCGCUUGAGACUGGCAUGCUCGAGUUCGGGAGAGGAUGGUGGAAUUCCCAGUGUAGAGGUGAAAUUCGUAGAUAUUGGGAAGAACACCGAUGGCGAAGGCAGCCAUCUGGACCGACACUGACGCUGAGGCGCGAAAGCGUGGG